RNAcentral lists this ribosomal RNA (426 nucleotides) under uncultured Phormidium sp. RNAcentral describes it as "bacterial SSU rRNA". It matches the Rfam family "Bacterial small subunit ribosomal RNA", at positions 355 to 795 of the family's 1533-position model. The record is from RNAcentral. Lineage: Bacteria; Bacillati; Cyanobacteriota; Cyanophyceae; Oscillatoriales; Oscillatoriaceae.
UGGGGAAUUUUCCGCAAUGGGCGCAAGCCUGACGGAGCAAGACCGCGUGGGGGAGGAAGGCUCUUGGGUUGUAAACCCCUUUUCUCUGGGAAGAACAAAAUGACGGUACCAGAGGAAUCAGCAUCGGCUAACUCCGUGCCAGCAGCCGCGGUAAGACGGAGGAUGCAAGCGUUAUCCGGAAUGAUUGGGCGUAAAGCGUCCGCAGGUGGCAGUUCAAGUCUGCUGUCAAAGACCGGGGCUUAACUUCGGACAGGCAGUGGAAACUGAACAGCUAGAGUAUGGUAGGGGCAAAGGGAAUUCCCGGUGUAGCGGUGAAAUGCGUAGAGAUCGGGAAGAACAUCGGUGGCGAAAGCGCUUUGCUGGACCAUAACUGACACUCAGGGACGAAAGCUAGGGGAGCGAAUGGGAUUAGAUACCCCAGUAGUC